ACACCGGCAGCUCAAGUGGCAGCCGCUUUUAUUGGGCCUAAAGCGUCCGUAGCCGGUCUGAUAAGUCUCUGGUGAAAUCCCGCAGCUUAACUGGGGGAAUUGAUGGAGAUACUAUCAUGACUCGAGGCCGGGAGAGGCUGGUGGUAACCCCAGGGUAAGGGAGACAUCCUGGAAUCCUGGGAGGACCACCUGUGGCGAAGGCGUCCAGCGGGAACGACCCUGACGGUGAGGGACGAAAGCCAGGGGCGCGAACCGGAUUAGAUACCCGGGUAGUCCUGGCCGUAAACGAUGUGGACUUGGUGUUGGGAUGGCUUCGAGCUGCCCCAGUGCCGAAGGGAAGCUGUUAAGUCCACCGCCUGGGAAGUACGGCCGCAAGGCUGAAACUCAAAGGAAUUGGCGGGG
RNAcentral lists this ribosomal RNA (402 nucleotides) under uncultured bacterium. Its description in RNAcentral is "partial 16S ribosomal RNA". It matches the Rfam family "Archaeal small subunit ribosomal RNA", at positions 473 to 873 of the family's 1478-position model. The record is from RNAcentral.